This is a non-coding RNA of Elaeis guineensis (African oil palm), 1967 nucleotides long. NCBI's taxonomy places the organism in Eukaryota, Viridiplantae, Streptophyta, Magnoliopsida, Arecales, Arecaceae. The record is from RefSeq and is a predicted model, not a curated record.
AAAAUAAAUAUAAUUCAUCUCUGAUGGACUUCCUGCUUUACGGUUUAUCGGAAGGACGAAGGGCGAAGGAAGCCGGAAUCAAAUCCCAAAAAUGUCCAUCGCCACUCUUUCUCCCUUCUCCUCCACCGGACCCUUCUUCCCCCGAAACCCUAAUUCUAAACCCCUAAUUCGAACACAAAUAGGAGCUCGCUGGAGAGAUCAAGCUCCGUCCAAGGCGAUAUCGCUCGUUCCUCGUCGAACGUCCAUUGAACCGGCGACGACCACUUUCUUGAGCAGCGGACGUUCUGGAGGGUCCGCCGCUGCAAUACCAGCGGCUCAGAUUUCUGGAGAAACUGUCCAAUCUAAUGCAGAGAAAUGGAGCAAAACAGCAAUGUUGGUCAUAGAUAUGCAGAAUGAUUUUAUUUUGCCAGAUAGACCGAUGUGUGUGGCUGGAGGCCAAGCUAUUGUCCCAUCUGUCAUCCAGGCCAUUUCUGUUGCAAGAGAGCGUGGAAUUUUUGUGAUAUGGGUUGUUCGAGAACAUGAUCCUUUAGGAAGAGAUGUAGAGCUCUUCCGCAGGCACUUGUAUACUGAUGGUGAAGGACCUGCUAUGAAUGGUUCCAAAGGUGCAGAUCUAGUUGAUGGACUCUUGAUAAAGGAAGGAGAUUACAAGUUGGUGAAGACACGCUUCAGUGCAUUCUGUGCCACACAACUUCAUUUGCUUCUUCAGACCUCUGGAGUCAAGAGCUUGGUUGUUGUGGGAGUUCAAACACCAAAUUGUAUUAGGCAGACUGUCUUCGAUGCAGUAUCCUUGGAUUACCAAUCUGUUACUGUCAUUGUCGAUGCAACAGCUGCUGCUACUCCUGAAAUUCAUCUUGCCAACAUCAGAGACAUGAAAAACAUUGGAGUGGCAACACCAACUUUGCAGGAAUGGUGCAGCUUGGAUGCUUAAUUGUGGUUCCUGGUGGUAAAGAAGUUUUCUUUGUAGAUCCACAUCUCAAUUGUGAUGCUUAGUUGAAUAAAGCUGAACAUGUACAUGUGUCAUUUUCACUUGGCAAAGAUUCACCUGACUUGGUUCGCAUUAGCUUAUCGGUUUCAUUGCUUCUGAGGGACGCACAAGGAUCUCCAAAUACUAUCAGCUGCCCUUGACAAAUCUGCUUAAGUUAAAACCUUCCAAAGAUGGGAUGCUAACCAUCUAUUCUUUGCUCCAUCGUAACAAACGCUAGUCAAUUUACUGCACAGUUCUUAUGAUUUUUAGAACCCAAAAUUGCUGAUUUUGCCCUUAAGCUUGUACCGCUGUUUUGUAUCAGGCACAGGUCAUGUGAUAUAGACCCCCAUUGUCAAUUGAUGGAAGAGCGCAAAAGAGACAAGCAACAGGUUGAUCUCUGUUAUGGAAGGAAGCGAGCAGAAGAUAUCGUGAGAAGAGUCGAUUUGAUGUCUGGAAAGGACCCAAGGACCUGCCAAAUCUUUCUAAUGAUCCCAAAGUAUCUAUUGCACAAUCUAAUGAUUGACAUCGGAAAAAAGAGCUGAAUCAUUCUCUCGCAUGGAGGAACAAUCCACACCCUAAGAGACAUUGGGUGAAAGUUAGUGUACGCUGGAAUGUAUGGUGAGACUUGUCUUGUUCUAAAGGGAGAGCAUGGUCUGAGCUCAACAGCCGUGCAGUAAUCCAUGCAGCCGCAAGGUCUAGAGUGGAAAAGCAGUGCUUGCGCAAAUCACGCUGCCUGUUCAAACAGGCCUAGUGAUAAGGUCAACGAGAUGGUUCGUCAUGAUCUUCAUUUGGAAGAGCUGGUCAAACUUUACUGGAAUGUUCUUGCGACGAGUUUGGUUCAUUGAUUACUUCAAAGAUGUAGAAGAAACAGUUGUGUAGAGGGAACUUUUGGUCAUAGUAUUGACGCAAAAACAGAAUAGGUACGAUGGAUUGAGAAUGAAAUUGUUGUCUUUUUUCACCUGAUAGAUAAUAUUUAACAAAAAGAAUAUAGUUUGAUUUGUUC